GGAAUUCUGGCAUAACCUAAAAUUAUUAUUAUGUUGAAUUUGGUUGGUUAGUGGUUGAGAAUUUUACGUUUCAAAGAUGAGAUUGACUGAAAUCUGCUACAAGCACAAUUUGUAUCGACAGCUAACCGCAACAUGGCGGGUUCAGAGCAAGAGACGAAAAAUCCUCGAUGUGGGUCUCAAAAGUCGACUGGAGAAGAACAACAUGGUAAUAUAUGAUGCCAUGGAUAUUGCUGCUAUUCCUGAACCUCAUAUAGAUGAAAUUCAAACGUUACAAGUCACACCAAUCCCGAAGCCAGAUACUAAACAAGUGGAAGCCAGUCAACCAAUCAGAAAACGUCUACUAGCCUUCAGAGACAACAAUGUUCUACUGGAAGGGAUGGAUCAAGCCAAACGCCUUACCAACACCAUUGAGCCUGAGCCGAACGUAUUGCCUCAACAGUUGACCUCUUUGAUUGAUGCGGUGAAGCUGACUGAACAAGAUGAUUUAGCCAAGAGGUGCAUAUUAUCGUCGAUCGCUUUCGAAUGUGAGCAAGUGAAACUGCCAAUCAGGAAGAAUCCUAAGAAGCGCAUGUGGGUGUUUCCGCGUGACUAUGGAAUUAGUCAACCAAGGCGCAGCCGCCUAUUGAACACACGUCUUCUACAACUGUGCGAGCUGAUAAGCGGAAGCAGCACUAGCAACGAGCGGUGGAUAACUAGAGAUGCGCGCUUUGCUGUGCCGCUGCACUGGGCCGAGACCCCUGUACUGCUCGACGUGUCUGCCGACCUGCUAGUGAUGACGUCAUCGCCGGGUGGCAUUCCGCCAGUCGCCACUGUCACAGCGCCACCUCAAGGACCGCCGUCGUUUCCGGACUACAUUUCGCCCCUCAUAUCGCUUGAAGAGACGGACUUUGAGGCUACCAAGUUUGAGGAUGCUUUUCCCUUGAAAGGAAACACACAAGGUCCAGCUGUACACACUGCAAUCGUCAACUUCGACAAAGAGGUUGUGAAAAAUCUGUAUGGCACUGAGGUUCUCCCGGAGCAAAUCACUAGUCGCUCCUUGAUGAAGGCUUUUGCCUUCUCGUUAGCACAGGCUAGGCGUAUCCAUGGUGACAAGGUGCAAGGACAACUGGACACACCGGUGACAACUCAGCUGAUCCAGACCGACGGCCGUUGGUACCACUUUGCAGUGAUGCAACUGAACACAACCGACGUGCAUGACGCGAAUGUGUGCAACUACUUCUGGUCCCUGCCCGUCCUAGAGAUGUACGGACCGCAGUCAGGCUACGACGACGGCCGGCCUGUUGUGCAUGAUUACAACGCUAGUGUUCUCAAAACUAUGCUGGCUUUCUACAAUAACGGGGCAACUAAACUCGGGUGAAAUCGUUGAGUGAUAUGUAGUGUGUAUUACAAUAUAUAUUAUUUAUGUAUUUCAGGAGACAAAUAUGGGGUUACCUUGAAUAGAAAUAGAUAGCUAGGACAAGGUUUAGAAAAGGAGGUAUUGUUGCUACAGGUACUGUUAGUUUUUUUAGGUAGUCCCAUAUUUGUCUCCUUAAAUACAGAAAUCUAUGAAAUUCAUUAUUUCUGUAGUAUGCAUUAUAAUAAUUAUGUUUGUACGAU
Nilaparvata lugens (brown planthopper) is the source of this 1596-nucleotide RNA transcript. It is a transcript of the gene named 39S ribosomal protein L37, mitochondrial, with no coding region annotated. The record is from RefSeq and is a predicted model, not a curated record. The transcript has 8 exons. Lineage: Eukaryota; Metazoa; Arthropoda; Insecta; Hemiptera; Delphacidae.